This 93-nucleotide microRNA precursor is filed under the name Canis lupus familiaris (dog). Its description in RNAcentral is "mir-8799 microRNA precursor family". It matches the Rfam family "mir-8799 microRNA precursor family". The record is from Rfam by way of RNAcentral. Lineage: Eukaryota; Metazoa; Chordata; Mammalia; Carnivora; Canidae. RNAcentral also lists the same sequence under 1 other name.
CGGGGGAGCGCAGGAUCCUGGACUGUGCCCCCUGGUGCCCUGGGAUCCAGGGCCUGCGCUGCUGGAAUCGCGCUCCUGGGGUCGCAGCACCCG